RNAcentral lists this transfer RNA (86 nucleotides) under Chloroflexota bacterium. RNAcentral describes it as "Chloroflexi bacterium (groundwater metagenome) tRNA-Leu". It matches the Rfam family "tRNA". Rfam says of the family: Transfer RNA (tRNA) molecules are approximately 80 nucleotides in length. Their secondary structure includes four short double-helical elements and three loops (D, anti-codon, and T loops). Further hydrogen bonds mediate the characteristic L-shaped molecular structure. tRNAs have two regions of fundamental functional importance: the anti-codon, which is responsible for specific mRNA codon recognition, and the 3' end, to which the tRNAs corresponding amino acid is attached (by aminoacyl-tRNA synthetases). tRNAs cope with the degeneracy of the genetic code in two manners: having more than one tRNA (with a specific anti-codon) for a particular amino acid; and 'wobble' base-pairing, i.e. permitting non-standard base-pairing at the 3rd anti-codon position. The record is from RNAcentral. Lineage: Bacteria; Bacillati; Chloroflexota.
GCCGAGGUGGCGGAACGGCAGACGCGCUACGUUCAGGGCGUAGUGCCCUCACGGGCGUGCGAGUUCAAAUCUCGCCCUCGGCACCA